UGGACUCUGAUUCAUUUUGCCCGAACUUCAAUCUGUUUGAAGAUGUUCGGAGUGAAUCGGUUUACGUGCUGAAUCCUUCAGGAAACUACGUUUCUUCCGCAGCUGCCUUUCGCCCCCAUUAAUCAGCCAUUAAUAUUGUGUAAACCAAAACCGUUGGCAGCCGUCAGAUGCUUUUCAGAAAAUAUGAUUGUUUUCAGGCGGCUUUUGAAAUUUAAUUCUAUUCAGUACGCUGGAAUUCUGAUUCGGUUUUUGCAUUUAAAUUUAAAUAUAAAUUGACACGUGCCAGCCAGCCUUCGCAAACAAUCAGGACUCGCUGUCACGCAAAAAGGUCCGAUCCACGAGGAACCACGAUGUGGAUACACGUGUAUGACUGAUUAUUUUGAACUCAUCUUUGGGUGAUUGCCGAGUUCUUGGUUUUCGAAGUGGUUCUCUUUCAUGUGCUUUAGCACAUCUGUGGGUUUCUGCUUAUGGGGCUGCUUUUAAUGAGGUCCGAUGGCCUGUACAAAUUGGGUGCGACGUUAUAAGGAUUCAUUUCUGAAAGCCACCACUUCAAGCUCAUUGAAAGGAAAAUGAUUCGUUGACCAACUUAAAGCUCGUAAUGACAGACAAUUUAUUUCUGCGGCCUCGUGACUGCAAAUUGGAACAGUGCCACGCCCACAAAUAAACUUUUUCUUGGGUGGAGCAACACUGAUGAUGACAAUCAUUCCCAUCGAAAAGUUGAUAUCAAUGUUGAUGAUCUCUAGGCCAGCCAAAAGUCGAAACUUCUUCAUUGUUAUCUAUGGAAUUUUGGGGGUGGUGAUAAAUGCGAUGGGGAGGUGACGCCACAGAAGUGUCGCCAGCGGAGGCUUCGAUGAAAUGGAAAAUAUAAACAAAAUCAUUUGUCAACACAUUUUGAAACAGCUCUGCAAACGCUGUAUUGUGGUCCGAAAAUCAAUGCUUGGAGCCUUCGAUUUGCACAAAAGGCAGCUUGUGAGAAAGGAAGCGGAUUUGGAAGCCGAAGGACUAGAACAAGUAUAAUAAUACAAUCUGUUGUUUUAGAGUUGUUGAAUUAAAUUCCUUAAGUAAAUAAAGAACACUUGUCCUUUGCA
Long non-coding RNA from Drosophila yakuba, 1088 nucleotides. RefSeq lists it as uncharacterized. The transcript is spliced from 2 exons. The record is from RefSeq and is a predicted model, not a curated record. Lineage: Eukaryota; Metazoa; Arthropoda; Insecta; Diptera; Drosophilidae.